AGUGAACGCUGGCGGUAGGCCUAACACAUGCAAGUCGAACGGAAGCACAGUAAGAGCUUGCUCUUACGGGUGGCGAGUGGCGGACGGGUGAGGAAUACAUCGGAAUCUACUUUUUCGUGGGGGAUAACGUAGGGAAACUUACGCUAAUACAGCAUACGACCUACGGGUGAAAGCAGGAGAUCUUCGGACCUUGCGCGAUUGAAUGAGCCGAUGUCGGAUUAGCUAUUUGGCGGGGUAAAGGCACACCAUGGCGACGAUCCGUAGCUGGUCGGAGAGGAUGGCCGCCAACACUGGAACGGAGACAGGGUCCAGACCCCUAGGGGAGGCAGAGUUGGGGAAUAUUGGACAAGGGGCGCAAGCUUGAGGCGGCCAGACGGCGUGGGGGAAGAAGGCCUUCGGGUUGUAAAGCCCUUUUGUUGGGAAAGAAAAGCAGCAGGUUAACACCCCGCUGUUCUGACGGUACCCAAAGAAUAAGCACCGGCUAACUUCGU
RNAcentral lists this ribosomal RNA (491 nucleotides) under uncultured bacterium. Its description in RNAcentral is "partial 16S ribosomal RNA". It matches the Rfam family "Bacterial small subunit ribosomal RNA", at positions 29 to 506 of the family's 1533-position model. The record is from RNAcentral.